GAUGAACGCUGGCGGCGUGCCUAAUACAUGCGAGUCGAGCGAACAGACGAGGAGCUUGCCCCUCUGACGUUAGCGGCGGACGGGUGAGUAACACGUGGAUAACCUACCUAUAAGACUGGGAUAACUUCGGGAAACCGGAGCUAAUACCGGAUAAUAUAUUGAACCGCAUGGUUCAAUAGUGAAAGACGGUUUUGCUGUCACUUAUAGAUGGAUCCGCGCCGCAUUAGCUAGUUGGUAAGGUAACGGCUUACCAAGGCAACGAUGCGUAGCCGACCUGAGAGGGGGAUCGGCCACACUGGAACUGAGACACGGGCCAGACCCCUACGGGAGGCAGCAGUAGGGAAUCUUCCGCAAUGGGCGAAAGCUUGACGGAGCAACGCCGCGGGAGUGAAGAAGGUCUUGGGAUCGUAAAACUCUGUUAUUAGGGAAGAAAAAAUGUGUAAGUAACUAUGCCCGUCUUGACGGUACCAAAGAAGAAAGCCACGGCUAACUACGG
Molecule: ribosomal RNA, 496 nt
Filed under: uncultured bacterium
Lineage: Bacteria
Description: partial 16S ribosomal RNA
Rfam family: Bacterial small subunit ribosomal RNA
Source: RNAcentral